CCUUGUCCAAAAGUAGCGAGCAAGUGGGAAAACCAAGUCUCACAAAACGCCCCCGCGAGACGACAAGUGUGUGCCUGGGCUCCCGAGACCUAUUCUGUGAAGAGUUGCCCAGUGGUCGGAUAUUGAAUGUACUGGGAACUGGAGUAAGGGCGAAAGAGGAGCGCAGGUUUGGUAUUUGUCAGAUGUCAAAACUGGGAAAGACCAAGCCUCCUGGAGCGCUAGCUUUCAUACUUAAGGAAAGUCACUUAUAGUGGUUAGGUGAGGUAUGAAAAACGAUUUGAGGAAGCAUAUUUAACCUGGCAAUGUCACAUUGAGGUUGCACAUGGAGAGGUGCAAGAACAGAGCGAGAAAUGUUUGGAGAAAUGUAAAGUGAUUGCUUAGAUUUUAGUACUACAAGAUACUGCGGGAAACAAAUGAUGUGGAAGUGACAAACUAUUUUUAAAAUGAGUUUCUGCACUCCCCUUUGUAGUUUUUUAAAUGUCGUGAGCAUGAAGACUCAAAUUCUAUCCAAAAUCAGACACAGUAUGACAAACCAAGCAGCAGUGUUCCCCUAAACAUUACGUGUAAAUAACCUAGGCAGACUGUGUAAGCCUUCGAGUAUCUUAUGUACUUGACUAUGUUCUAAAGAACAAGUUAGAACACAUUUUCACUUUAACUUGAUUGAAAAGAGACCUACCCUUUUAAGGAACAUUUUUUUUUUCAUUUAAAAUUGAAGUCAAGUGCAUUGUAAAAUACUACUGGAAACAUUGAUUACAAUGUAAUUGAACGUAGUGUCACUGGUAGCUAAAGCAAACCAUUUUGGGAGAAUUAUAAUGUAGAGUCCUUUUGAGGUGAAAUAGUGCUAAGUUUUUGUCCAUCCACUUACAGAUGAGGCGUAGACUACUAAGAUAGCACAUUGGUUUGCUUGCCUUCUUUGUUUCUUAUCUUCUUUCUAGCACAUUGCUCCCAAUUUAUUAUUCCUAGAACAUCCUUACUAUACCCAGAACACUCUUACUAAAAUCAGCAACUUCUACUGGUCUCCUAAAACCCCAAAGAUAAAAUCCAGGCUAGCCUUCCAGAACCAUCAUAGCAUUAUCCUGGGCCUCAUAUAUUUACUACAAAAUGUAAAGGGUGCUUGCAAAGUGAUACUCGCAUCUCAGCGGUUUGAAAUGUCGCUACUGGAGUUUUAAAGUCUUCUCAGACUUCAAGAGUCUACAUGCCAUGAACCAUUUAAUGGCUACCUGGGGGGAAAGUGAGAAAGAAGGGAGAUGCAUUGGCAGGAGGAAUGAUACAGGGCUGGUCAAAAGCUACAAAAUCUGUUGCCUUCAUAAUUUUAUGCAGGGCCUUUCCUACCCUGUCCAGCGGCUACUUCUGGUUUAACUUCUGACUUCCAAGUGCUAUUGUUGGUUGCUGAUUCUUUGUCCUUGACUCUUUAUUCUUGUUCUUUCUGCCCAGUAUCUUCAUGAUUUUCAAAACUCAUCUGAUCCAAAACUUCCUGACUCCAUGGUUCCUGAUAAUGCCCCUCCCACAGUUCCCUGAUACCCAACAGAAUGUCCAUAUCAUUUAUUUUAGGGUUGAAUUAUACCAUAAAUAAUACAACUAGCACUGAACAAGAUGUUUGACUUAUCAGUACAAUUGUAAAUGAAUUUAAAGAAGAUUUGUUAAUCUACUUGUACCCCUUAUAUUUUUCAUUACAGUAGUGAUUUCAAAAGGAAUACUGAGUCCUUUGAACUUAGUUUUCUAGUUUUUAUGUUCUUCAGAAUGGACAUUUAAAUUGAUAAAAUGUUUGCUUAAGUUAUUUCUCCAGGGCUUGUUAUUUUUUAAUUAGUUUUUUUGUUAUGUAAAUAUAUUUUUAGAUAACAAAAGAGAAUUCUUAAGAAAGACAACAAUGAAUGAUAGGCUACAUUUAAAAAAGCAGACACCAGAGUUAAAAAAAGAAAAAGAAACCAGUAGGUAACAUUAGAAUAGAACACAGCAAUCGCAUGAAUAUGCAGUAGCACCAAUGUAUGUUUCCUUCUACAGGGCAACAUUAAUGUAAAAUGCUGAGGGACAGAUCAAGAAGGAAAUCAUAAGACAGCAUGCUAUUUCCUCGAAAACUAUGGAGCAUAUUACUUACCCUGAAUUAUGCAGAAAACUUUUUAACAGAAGUGCAAGUAGUUACUUUUCUACAAGCUGCUGCAGAUGAGUUGAUGGUCACACCUCAUGAAGGAGAAGAAACCUGGAAUCAACAAGGAGACAUUCUUAAGCACAUCGUGCUGACUCAGAGCUCCUGCUAUAAAAUUUGAUACCCCUGAAAAUCAUCUUUAACACAGGUCUGCCCCAUAUAUUAUUGUACAUACACUAUGGGGGGGUCCUAAGGUUCAAAAUGUUGCCUAUUCACAGAAGAUCCACAGGCAAGAUGUGGGAACAAGCCAAGGAACACUGAUUUAAUUAAGCAAGUGUUCUCUAAACUCCUGCAAAUUAUCAGUUUCCACAAGGCAGAGGGACAAUUGUUGGUAAAGGGAAUGAAACUUCUAUGAAAUUUAAUCUGGCUAUGGAAGUACUGGGGUCAAAAUAAACAAACAGAUAUUUCCUGCUGUAGCUAAAACCAAGCAAAAUACUCUUUCCCACAUUUUGGGAUUUUUUUCCCCUUUACUUUUAUGGCUAAGUAAUAAUUUUUAAGUUACAAGAAUUUUUACAUCCUUCAAAACGUAUUUCUCCUACCUAGGAAUGAUUUUUGUUCAUUGAUUUGUAAUUUAAAUGCAAUUUACAUAUGAUAAUAAUUAAGAGACUUAGUAGCUUUAAUAUUAAGAACUAAGAACAAAAGCAAAACCUUCCCCGUAAUCUUGUGUCAAAUCAAACUGAAAUGUGAAGAAAAUUUCCAUUAAUAUCUUUGGGGCAGGAACAUUUAUUAUAGCUAUUAGGUAGCACAGUUAGCCUGUUAGAUUAGUUCUGAUCAAACAAUUUAAAGCUGUUUUUAUUAAUAGAUUGUUAUUUCUUUAAAAAAAAAAAAAA
This is a non-coding RNA of Heterocephalus glaber (naked mole-rat), 2973 nucleotides long. NCBI's taxonomy places the organism in Eukaryota, Metazoa, Chordata, Mammalia, Rodentia, Bathyergidae. The record is from RefSeq and is a predicted model, not a curated record.